AUUGCCUCAGUAACGGCGAGUGAAGCGGCAAGAGCUCAAAUUUGAAAGCUGGCUCCUUCGGGGUCCGCAUUGUAAUUUGCAGAGGAUGCUUCGGGUGCGGCCCCUGUCUAAGUGCCCUGGAACGGGCCGUCAGAGAGGGUGAGAAUCCCGUCUGGGAUGGGGUGUCCGCGCCCGUGUGAAGCUCCUUCGACGAGUCGAGUUGUUUGGGAAUGCAGCUCUAAAUGGGUGGUAAAUUUCAUCUAAAGCUAAAUACUGGCCGGAGACCGAUAGCGCACAAGUAGAGUGAUCGAAAGAUGAAAAGCACUUUGAAAAGAGAGUUAAAAAGCACGUGAAAUUGUUGAAAGGGAAGCGCUUGCGACCAGACUCGCCUCCAGGGUUCAGCCGGCAUUCGUGCCGGUGUACUUCCCUGGGGGCGGGCCAGCGUCGGUUUGGGCGGCCGGUCAAAGGCUCCCGGAAUGUAGUGCCCUCCGGGGCACCUUAUAGCCGGGAGUGCAAUGCGGCCAGCCUGGACCGAGGAACGCGCUUCGGCACGGACGCUGGCAUAAUGGUCGUAAACGACCCGUCUUGAAACACGGACCAAGGAGUCUAACAUCUACGCGAGUGUUCGGGUGUCAAACCCGUACGCGCAGUGAAAGCGAACGGAGGUGGGAGCCCCCUCGUGGGGCGCACCAUCGACCGAUCCUGAUGUCUUCGGAUGGAUUUGAGUAAGAGCGUAAAUGUGGGGACCCGAAAGAUGGUGAACUAUGCCUGAAUAGGGCGAAGCCAGAGGAAACUCUGGUGGAGGCUCGCAGCGGUUCUGACGUGCAAAUCGAUCGUCAAAUUUGGGUAUAGGGGCGAAAGACUAAUCGAACCAUCUAGUAGCUGGUUCUGC
RNAcentral lists this ribosomal RNA (871 nucleotides) under Aspergillus sergii. Its description in RNAcentral is "LSU rRNA". It matches the Rfam family "Eukaryotic large subunit ribosomal RNA", at positions 74 to 960 of the family's 3401-position model. Lineage: Eukaryota; Fungi; Ascomycota; Eurotiomycetes; Eurotiales; Aspergillaceae. The record is from RNAcentral.